This 107-nucleotide small RNA is filed under the name Marmota monax (woodchuck). The record is from RNAcentral. Lineage: Eukaryota; Metazoa; Chordata; Mammalia; Rodentia; Sciuridae.
GCCAGGUAUAGUGGUGCACACCUGUAAUCCCAGCUACUUGGGAAGCUGAGGCAGAAGGAUCACAAAUUUAAGGUCAGCCUGGGCAAUUUGGUGAGACUCAGUCUUAA